UCAAGUGAAUAAGUGCAUCAGGCGGAUGCCUUGGCGAUGAUAGGCGACGAAGGACGUGUAAGCCUGCGAAAAGCGCGGGGGAGCUGGCAAUAAAGCUAUGAUUCCGCGAUGUCCGAAUGGGGAAACCCACUGCAUUCUGUGCAGUAUCCUAAGUUGAAUACAUAGGCUUAGAGAAGCGAACCCGGAGAACUGAACCAUCUAAGUACCCGGAGGAAAAGAAAUCAACCGAGAUUCCGCAAGUAGUGGCGAGCGAACGCGGAGGAGCCUGUACGUAAUAACUGUCGAGAUAGAAGAACAAGCUGGGAAGCUUGACCAUAGCGGGUGACAGUCCCGUAUUCGAAAUCUCAACAGCGGUACUAAGCGUACGAAAAGUAGGGCGGGACACGUGAAAUCCUGUCUGAAUAUGGGGGGACCAUCCUCCAAGGCUAAAUACUCAUCAUCGACCGAUAGUGAACCAGUACCGUGAGGGAAAGGCGAAAAGAACCCCGGGAGGGGAGUGAAACAGAACCUGAAACCUGAUGCAUACAAACAGUGGGAGCGCCCUAGUGGUGUGACUGCGUACCUUUUGUAUAAUGGGUCAACGACUUACAUUCAGUAGCGAGCUUAACCGGAUAGGGGAGGCGUAGGGAAACCGAGUCUUAAUAGGGCGAUGAGUUGCUGGGUGUAGACCCGAAACCGAGUGAUCUAUCCAUGGCCAGGUUGAAGGUGCCGUAACAGGUACUGGAGGACCGAACCCACGCAUGUUGCAAAAUGCGGGGAUGAGCUGUGGGUAGGGGUGAAAGGCUAAACAAACUCGGAGAUAGCUGGUUCUCCCCGAAAACUAUUUAGGUAGUGCCUCGAGCAAGACACUGAUGGGGGUAAAGCACUGUUAUGGCUAGGGGGUUAUUGCAACUUACCAACCCAUGGCAAACUCAGAAUACCAUCAAGUGGUUCCUCGGGAGACAGACAGCGGGUGCUAACGUCCGUUGUCAAGAGGGAAACAACCCAGACCGCCGGCUAAGGUCCCAAAUGAUAGAUUAAGUGGUAAACGAAGUGGGAAGGCACAGACAGCCAGGAUGUUGGCUUAGAAGCAGCCAUCAUUUAAAGAAAGCGUAAUAGCUCACUGGUCGAGUCGUCCUGCGCGGAAGAUGUAACGGGGCUCAAAUCUAUAACCGAAGCUGCGGAUGCCGGUUUACCGGCAUGGUAGGGGAGCGUUCUGUAGGCUGAUGAAGGUGCAUUGUAAAGUGUGCUGGAGGUAUCAGAAGUGCGAAUGUUGACAUGAGUAGCGAUAAAGCGGGUGAAAAGCCCGCUCGCCGAAAGCCCAAGGUUUCCUACGCAACGUUCAUCGGCGUAGGGUAAGUCGGCCCCUAAGGCGAGGCAGAAAUGCGUAGUCGAUGGGAAACAGGUUAAUAUUCCUGUACUUGAUUCAAAUGCGAUGUGGGGACGGAGAAGGUUAGGUUGGCAAGCUGUUGGAAUAGCUUGUUUAAGCCGGUAGGUGGAAGACUUAGGCAAAUCCGGGUUUUCUUAACACCGAGAAGUGAUGACGAGUGUCUACGGACACGAAGCAACCGAUACCACGCUUCCAGGAAAAGCCACUAAGCUUCAGUUUGAAUCGAACCGUACCGCAAACCGACACAGGUGGGCAGGAUGAGAAUUCUAAGGCGCUUGAGAGAACUCGGGAGAAGGAACUCGGCAAAUUGAUACCGUAACUUCGGGAGAAGGUAUGCCCUCUAAGGUUAAGGACUUGCUCCGUAAGCCCCGGAGGGUCGCAGAGAAUAGGUGGCUGCGACUGUUUAUUAAAAACACAGCACUCUGCCAACACGAAAGUGGACGUAUAGGGUGUGACGCCUGCCCGGUGCCGGAAGGUUAAUUGAAGAUGUGCAAGCAUCGGAUCGAAGCCCCGGUAAACGGCGGCCGUAACUAUAACGGUCCUAAGGUAGCGAAAUUCCUUGUCGGGUAAGUUCCGACCCGCACGAAUGGCGUAACGAUGGCCACACUGUCUCCUCCCGAGACUCAGCGAAGUUGAAGUGGUUGUGAAGAUGCAAUCUACCCGCUGCUAGACGGAAAGACCCCGUGAACCUUUACUGUAGCUUUGCAUUGGACUUUGAAGUCACUUGUGUAGGAUAGGUGGGAGGCUUGGAAGCAGAGACGCCAGUCUCUGUGGAGUCGUCCUUGAAAUACCACCCUGGUGUCUUUGAGGUUCUAACCCAGACCCGUCAUCCGGGUCGGGGACCGUGCAUGGUAGGCAGUUUGACUGGGGCGGUCUCCUCCCAAAGCGUAACGGAGGAGUUCGAAGGUUACCUAGGUCCGGUCGGAAAUCGGACUGAUAGUGCAAUGGCAAAAGGUAGCUUAACUGCGAGACCGACAAGUCGGGCAGGUGCGAAAGCAGGACAUAGUGAUCCGGUGGUUCUGUAUGGAAGGGCCAUCGCUCAACGGAUAAAAGGUACUCCGGGGAUAACAGGCUGAUUCCGCCCAAGAGUUCAUAUCGACGGCGGAGUUUGGCACCUCGAUGUCGGCUCAUCACAUCCUGGGGCUGUAGUCGGUCCCAAGGGUAUGGCUGUUCGCCAUUUAAAGUGGUACGUGAGCUGGGUUUAAAACGUCGUGAGACAGUUUGGUCCCUAUCUGCAGUGGGCGUUGGAAGUUUGACGGGGGCUGCUCCUAGUACGAGAGGACCGGAGUGGACGAACCUCUGGUGUACCGGUUGUAACGCCAGUUGCAUAGCCGGGUAGCUAAGUUCGGAAGAGAUAAGCGCUGAAAGCAUCUAAGCGCGAAACUCGCCUGAAGAUGAGACUUCCCUUGCGGUUUAACCGCACUAAAGGGUCGUUCGAGACCAGGACGUUGAUAGGUGGGGUGUGGAAGCGCGGUAACGCGUGAAGCUAACCCAUACUAAUUGCCCGUGAGGCUUGACUC
RNAcentral lists this ribosomal RNA (2889 nucleotides) under Neisseria gonorrhoeae. RNAcentral describes it as "23S ribosomal RNA". It matches the Rfam family "Bacterial large subunit ribosomal RNA". Lineage: Bacteria; Pseudomonadati; Pseudomonadota; Betaproteobacteria; Neisseriales; Neisseriaceae. The record is from RNAcentral.